This 58-nucleotide ribosomal RNA is filed under the name Trichoderma gamsii. RNAcentral's name for it is "partial 28S ribosomal RNA". It matches the Rfam family "Eukaryotic large subunit ribosomal RNA", at positions 1 to 58 of the family's 3401-position model. The record is from RNAcentral. Lineage: Eukaryota; Fungi; Ascomycota; Sordariomycetes; Hypocreales; Hypocreaceae.
UGACCUCGGAUCAGGUAGGAAUACCCGCUGAACUUAAGCAUAUCAAUAAGCGGAGAAA